Molecule: ribosomal RNA, 467 nt
Filed under: uncultured bacterium
Lineage: Bacteria
Description: partial 16S ribosomal RNA
Rfam family: Bacterial small subunit ribosomal RNA
Source: RNAcentral
GACGAACGCUGGCGGCGUGCUUAACACAUGCAAGUCGAACGGAAAGGCCCUGCUUUUGUGGGGUGCUCGAGUGGCGAACGGGUGAGUAACACGUGAGUAACCUGCCCUUGACUUUGGGAUAACUUCAGGAAACUGGGGCUAAUACCGGAUAGGAGCUCCUGCUGCAUGGUGGGGGUUGGAAAGUUUCGGCGGUUGGGGAUGGACUCGCGGCUUAUCAGCUUGUUGGUGGGGUAGUGGCUUACCAAGGCUUUGACGGGUAGCCGGCCUGAGAGGGUGACCGGCCACAUUGGGAAUGAGAUACGGCCCAGAAACCUACGGGAGGCAGCAGUGGGGAAUAUUGCACAAUGGGCGGAAGCCUGAUGCAGCAGCGCCGCGUGCGGGAAGACGGCCUUCGGGUUGUAAACCGCUUUCGCCUGUGACGAAGCGUGAGUGACGGUAAUGGGUAAAGAAGCACCGGCUAACUACGU